This 459-nucleotide ribosomal RNA is filed under the name uncultured bacterium. RNAcentral's name for it is "partial 16S ribosomal RNA". It matches the Rfam family "Bacterial small subunit ribosomal RNA", at positions 338 to 795 of the family's 1533-position model. The record is from RNAcentral.
CCUACGGGGGGCAGCAGUGAGGAAUAUUGGUCAAUGGGCGUAAGCCUGAACCAGCCAAGUCGCGUGAGGGAUGAAGGUUCUAUGGAUCGUAAACCUCUUUUAUAAGGGAAUAAAGUGCGGGACGUGUCCCGUUUUGUAUGUACCUUAUGAAUAAGCAUCGGCUAACUCCGUGCCAGCAGCCGCGGUAAUACGGAGGAUGCGAGCGUUAUCCGGAUCUAUUGGGUUUAAAGGGUGCGUAGGUGGACUGUUAAGUCAGCGGUAAAAGCUCGGGGCUCAACCCCGGCGAGCCGUUGAAACUGGCUGUCUUGAGAGGGUUAGAGGUAUGCGGAAUGCGCAGUGUAGCGGUGAAAUGCUUAGAUAUUGCGCAGAACUCCGAUUGCGAAGGCAGCAUACCGGCGGCGAACUGACGCUGAGGCACGAAAGCGUGGGUAUCGAACAGGAUUAGAUACCCGAGUAGUC